RNAcentral lists this ribosomal RNA (478 nucleotides) under uncultured Planctomycetales bacterium. RNAcentral describes it as "bacterial SSU rRNA". It matches the Rfam family "Bacterial small subunit ribosomal RNA", at positions 364 to 832 of the family's 1533-position model. The record is from RNAcentral. Lineage: Bacteria; Pseudomonadati; Planctomycetota; Planctomycetia; Planctomycetales.
UUUCGCAAUGCCCGAAAGGGAGACGAAGCGACGCCGCGUGUGGGAAGAAGGCCUUCGGGUUGUAAACCACUGUCGGGAGUUAGGAAAUGCAGGUGCGUUAAUAGCGCACUUGCUUGACUAAGGCUCCAGAGGAAGCCACGGCUAACUCUGUGCCAGCAGCCGCGGUAAUACAGAGGCGGCAAGCGUUGUUCGGAAUUAUUGGGCGUAAAGAGCACGUAGGCGGCCUUGCAAGUCAGUUGUGAAAGCCUUCCGCUUAACGGAAGAACGGCAUCUGAUACUACAGGGCUUGAGUACGGGAGGGGAGAGUGGAACUUCUGGUGGAGCGGUGAAAUGCGUAGAUAUCAGAAGGAACGCCGGCGGCGAAAGCGGCUCUCUGGCCCAUAACUGACGCUGAGUGUGCGAAAGCUAGGGGAGCAAACGGGAUUAGAUACCCCGGUAGUCCUAGCCAUAAACGAUGGGCACUAAGUAGAGGGGUUUU